AGAGUUUGAUCAUGGCUCAGGAUGAACGCUAGCGGCAGGCUUAACACAUGCAAGUCGAGGGGUAUAGUUCUUCGGAAUUAGAGACCGGCGCACGGGUGCGUAACGCGUAUGCAAUCUACCUUUUACAGAGGGAUAGCCCAGAGAAAUUUGGAUUAAUACCUCAUAGUAUAGCAACUUCGCAUGAAGUCACUAUUAAAGUCACAACGGUGAAAGAUGAGCAUGCGUCCCAUUAGCUAGUUGGUAAGGUAACGGCUUACCAAGGCAACGAUGGGUAGGGGUCCUGAGAGGGAGAUCCCCCACACUGGUACUGAGACACGGACCAGACUCCUACGGGAGGCAGCAGUGAGGAAUAUUGGUCAAUGGGCGCAAGCCUGAACCAGCCAUGCCGCGUGCAGGAUGACGGUCCUAUGGAUUGUAAACUGCUUUUGUACAGGAAGAAACAACUCUACGUGUAGAGUCUUGACGGUACUGUAAGAAUAAGGAUCGGCUAACUCCGUGCCAGCAGCCGCGGUAAUACGGAGGAUCCAAGCGUUAUCCGGAAUCAUUGGGUUUAAAGGGUCCGUAGGCGGUUUAGUAAGUCAGUGGUGAAAGCCCAUCGCUCAACGGUGGAACGGCCAUUGAUACUGCUAGACUUGAAUUAUUAGGAAGUAACUAGAAUAUGUAGUGUAGCGGUGAAAUGCUUAGAGAUUACAUGGAAUACCAAUUGCGAAGGCAGGUUACUACUAAUGGAUUGACGCUGAUGGACGAAAGCGUGGGUAGCGAACAGGAUUAGAUACCCUAGUAGUCC
Molecule: ribosomal RNA, 787 nt
Filed under: uncultured bacterium
Lineage: Bacteria
Description: bacterial SSU rRNA
Rfam family: Bacterial small subunit ribosomal RNA
Source: RNAcentral